RNAcentral lists this long non-coding RNA (403 nucleotides) under Vigna radiata. RNAcentral describes it as "long non-coding RNA (VRAD_LNC017833)". The record is from RNAcentral. Lineage: Eukaryota; Viridiplantae; Streptophyta; Magnoliopsida; Fabales; Fabaceae.
GUUUAUAGUGGUUUUUUAGGGGUUUAUAAGUGUUUUUAGGCGUUUUUAGUGGUUUUGAAGGGUUUAUAAUGGUUUUUGAAUGUUUAUAUGUGUUUUAAGCGGUUUUAGUCGUUUUUAAGAGUUUAUAUUGGUUUUUUAGGGGUUUAAAAGUGUUUCUAGUGGUUUUUGAGGGGUUUAAAAGUGUUUUGAGGGGAUUUUAGGGUUUAAUAUUGGUUUUUUAGAGGUUUAUAAGUGUUUUGAGGGUUUUUAGUUAUUUUUAGCGGUAUCUUUGGGCUUUUAGAGUAUUUAAGGGGUAUUUUUAGGUUUUUAUGGUUUUUAAGGGGUAUUUUUCUGUUUUUGGGGUUUUUAAGGGGUAUUUUUUGGUUUUUAUGGUUUUUAAGGGAUAUUUUUGGGUAUUUUUGNN